This 1260-nucleotide ribosomal RNA is filed under the name Triticum aestivum (bread wheat). RNAcentral's name for it is "partial small subunit ribosomal RNA". The record is from RNAcentral. Lineage: Eukaryota; Viridiplantae; Streptophyta; Magnoliopsida; Poales; Poaceae.
AUGGCUGAGGGGAGUGCUUCUUUUGACUGGGACAUGGCGGUCUCGGUGGCUGGGAACCACUAUACGAGCUCCGGCCAUGGCGGAGUUGCACAACACUUCGUCCAUAAUGAUGGUGGUGCUCCAGCCGGGGCGGUUGUCGUCCCGGGCGCUGGAUCAAGGGCUUCUGGUGGCAUCAGCAAGAUGGAUCCCACCAGCUUACCCGGCUACGGGAGCAGCGACGGCCCUACGGCAAUCACGGCGACUACUCAGGCGCUGCCGCCUGCCAGAUCUAGCGGCCAGGGGCUGACACAGUUCAAAAGGUCCUGGACCGUGGAGGAAGACACGCUGCUCAGGGAGAAGGUGCGGGAAUUCGACCAAGGGAGUUGGGCGGAGGUUGCAUUGUACCUCCCUGGCCGGAGCGGGAAGCAGUGUCGAGAGAGAUGGACCAACCAACUUGACCCCAACAUUGAGAGGAAAAAAUGGACCGAAGUGGAAGACAUGAAGCUGAUCAAGAUGCACCAGACUUGGGGGAACUGCUGGUCGGUGAUCGUCCGAGAACUCCCCGGACGGUCAGACAAUGCCGUCAAGAACCACUGGAAUGCCACCAAGCGCAGUCUGAACACGAAACGCCAUAUGAAGAAGAGGAACAGUGAGCAGCCACCUCCUGGCCAGCUCUCCCUUCUUAUGGAGUACAUCCGCAGCCUUGACCCGCAUACCGAACCACCCACAGAGACACGUCUAGUGUCCCCACCGUUGUAUCAUGACCAACAACACGGUGGGAAAACGAGGAUGGCCGAUAUAGACUCUGUCGUCGUCAUUGCCCCUACCGCACAGGCGCACCCGAGUUACCCUAAUCUGACCAUGACUGGUAUGUACUACCACCCAAACCCGGCCAACAUGCAGUACUGGGUGCCAGACUUGAAUGUCACCGAUGGGACAAAAGAGGGGUACUCAUACUACAUCCCUCCCAAUGCGCACCUGAACCACCACCAGUCGUAUGGUUUGUCUCCGACACAGAUGGUUAGCAAGAAAGACAUCCAGCAGGCAGCCAAUGCGAGCAUGGACAUGUAUGCAUUCACCGAACAACAUACCCUCCCAGUGAACAACCUGAAGGCUGCUGCAGAGAUGCACCGCGAGUCCUCCAUCAACAACCAACUGGGCAACAUGUGUGGUGGAGCUGGUGGCUGGUCCUACUACUAUGGCAUGGAUGCGGCUGGUUCAAGCGGCCCCACAGGAGGUAGUGGUAGUGGUAAUGACCCUGAAGGCAUCGACAUGGUGUAG